Pieris brassicae (large cabbage white) is the source of this 678-nucleotide long non-coding RNA. RefSeq lists it as uncharacterized. The transcript is spliced from 3 exons. NCBI's taxonomy places the organism in Eukaryota, Metazoa, Arthropoda, Insecta, Lepidoptera, Pieridae. The record is from RefSeq and is a predicted model, not a curated record.
AAUAACCUAAGUAUACGGAGAUCGUAAUUUCUUACAUUUGAUUCUUUAGUUGGUAUAACUAUUCCAUUUUAUACCACGUUUAUCUGUACCACUGAUAAUGUUCUUGCACUAUAGUAACAUUAUUAUAACAUUAGGAAUUUUAAUGGCCUAGGUACAUUGGGAGUUAAAUUAAGCAAUUAUAUGAUGAUAGAAUCAAAAAUGGUCAACCGUUUAUCUAAAUAUCCUUAUUAAGAUGAAUAAUAACUAGUUCAUAAUGGAAUUAUACUUAGUCAAAUGUAACAUUAUACUGAAGUUUCAUCACGAGAAUGAUGUUGAUAUUGUAUAUUUUUGUUCUUAUCGUUUCGAACAUAAUCUAUGGAUUUGAAAUGGGAAAGGAUGAAAAUAAUUUCGGACCAUAUGACAUUAGAUGGACCAGAUAUAAUAUAUGCCCAGGAUCCAAAUCAAAGAAUUCGACUAAUAUAACAUUCGCAUUGGUAAAGGAAAAUGAUGAUUAUUUUGCCAAACUAACAAUUGAUGUCUUGGUUAAAACUUCAAUCGAUGAGGUAAAAGUGUGGGUUUACAAAUUGAAAAAUGAAAACAAAAGCUUGCUGUGGGUAUAUAAGUCGAGCGAUGCUUGCAAACACUUUAUUUUCGGUGAGAUAAUUAAAAAACAAUUGAAUGCCAGAAGUUGUGUUAUCG